RNAcentral lists this long non-coding RNA (987 nucleotides) under Homo sapiens (human). Its description in RNAcentral is "HSALNT0216502". Lineage: Eukaryota; Metazoa; Chordata; Mammalia; Primates; Hominidae. The record is from RNAcentral.
GCCUCAGCCUCCCCAGGAGCUGGGACCACAGGUGUCCACUACCAUGUCUGGCUAAUUUUUUGUUUGUUUGUUUUUGCUUUGAGAUGGAGUCUCGCUCAGCCGCCCAGGCUGGAGUGGAGUGGCGUGAUCUCAGCUCAUGGAAACCACCAUCUCGGGGUUCAAGAGAUUCUCCCGUCCCAGCCUCCCAAGUAGCUGGGAUUAUGGGCACGAGCCACCACACCCAGUUAAUUUUUUUGUUUUUUGAAACGGAGUUUCACUCGUCGCCCAGGCUGGAGUGCAACGGCACGAUCUCGGCUCACCGCAACCUCCGCCUCCCGGGUUUCAGUGAUUCUCCUGCCUCAGCCUCCCGAGUAGCUGGGAUUACAGGCGCCUGCCAUCAUGCCCAGCUAAUUUUUUGUAUUAUUGGUAGAGACGGGGUUUCACCAUGUUGGCCAGGAUGGUCUCGAAGUCCUGACCUCAGGUGAUCCACCUGCCUCGACCUCCCGAAGUGCUGGGAUUACAGGCGUGAGCCACUGCACCCGGCCAUUUUUGUGUAGUUUUAGUAGAGAAGGGGUUUCACCAUGUUGGCCAGGAUUGUCUGGAACUCCUGACCUCAAGUAUCUGCUUGCCUCGGCCUCCCAAAGUGCUGGGAUUACAGGCAUGAACCACUGCCCCUGCCUGAGUUCUUUACAAUGGCACAUUCAUUUUCAAGUGACAAGGCUCAUUCGCUAAGAAUCCCCGAGGGACAGGGGAGACUGCGGUUUCAUAGGGGAGCCGUGUCUUUGUGCAGUGGGGAGUGGUUGUGAGGGCAUUCUAGGCUACACCUGAGGCUCCAGAUAGAUGAGGCCAGGUACGGAGUAUGACAGGUGACUUGAAGGGCUCCUGUAAUUGUAUGUACAUCCCUACUUGAAAUUUCAUGUCUUGGCCGGGAGCAGUGGCUCAUGCCUGUAAUCCCAGCAUUUUGAGAGGAUGAGGUGGGAAGAUCGCUUAAGCCCAGGAAUUCGAGAC